Molecule: ribosomal RNA, 523 nt
Filed under: Bifidobacterium adolescentis
Lineage: Bacteria; Bacillati; Actinomycetota; Actinomycetes; Bifidobacteriales; Bifidobacteriaceae
Description: bacterial SSU rRNA
Rfam family: Bacterial small subunit ribosomal RNA
Source: RNAcentral
GCCGGAUGCUCCAGUUGGAUGCAUGUUCUUCUGGGAAAGAUUCAUCGGUAUGGGAUGGGGUCGCGUCCUAUCAGCUUGAUGGCGGGGUAACGGCCCACCAUGGCUUCGACGGGUAGCCGGCCUGAGAGGGCGACCGGCCACAUUGGGACUGAGAUACGGCCCAGACUCCUACGGGAGGCAGCAGUGGGGAAUAUUGCACAAUGGGCGCAAGCCUGAUGCAGCGACGCCGCGUGCGGGAUGACGGCCUUCGGGUUGUAAACCGCUUUUGACUGGGAGCAAGCCCUUCGGGGUGAGUGUACCUUUCGAAUAAGCACCGGCUAACUACGUGCCAGCAGCCGCGGUAAUACGUAGGGUGCAAGCGUUAUCCGGAAUUAUUGGGCGUAAAGGGCUCGUAGGCGGUUCGUCGCGUCCGGUGUGAAAGUCCAUCGCUUAACGGUGGAUCCGCGCCGGGUACGGGCGGGCUUGAGUGCGGUAGGGGAGACUGGAAUUCCCGGUGUAACGGUGGAAUGUGUAGAUAUCGGAA